Molecule: ribosomal RNA, 481 nt
Filed under: uncultured bacterium
Lineage: Bacteria
Description: partial 16S ribosomal RNA
Rfam family: Bacterial small subunit ribosomal RNA
Source: RNAcentral
GAUGAACGCUGGCGGCGUGCUUAACACAUGCAAGUCGAACGAAGCACUUUAUUUGAUUUCCUUCGGGACUGAUUAUUUUGUGACUGAGUGGCGGACGGGUGAGUAACGCGUGGGUAACCUGCCUUGUACAGGGGGAUAACAGUUGGAAACGGCUGCUAAUACCGCAUAAGCGCCCAGCAUCGCAUGAUGCAGUGUGAAAAACUCCGGUGGUGUAAGAUGGACCCGCGUUGGAUUAGCUAGUUGGUGAGGUAACGGCCCACCAAGGCGACGAUCCAUAGCCGACCUGAGAGGGUGACCGGCCACAUUGGGACUGAGACACGGCCCAAACUCCUACGGGAGGCAGCAGUGGGGAAUAUUGCACAAUGGGCGAAAGCCUGAUGCAGCGACGCCGCGUGAGCGAAGAAGUAUUUCGGUAUGUAAAGCUCUAUCAGCAGGGAAGAUAAUGACGGUACCUGACGAAGAAGCACCGGCUAAAUACGUG